RNAcentral lists this long non-coding RNA (345 nucleotides) under Gallus gallus (chicken). Its description in RNAcentral is "lncRNA (ENSGALG00010018741.1)". Lineage: Eukaryota; Metazoa; Chordata; Aves; Galliformes; Phasianidae. The record is from RNAcentral.
GAACAGCUGUGCCUCUGCAAGAGAUAACUGUGACAGAGGAACAUGUGAGUGCCAUCAGUAUGCUGACAGGAGAUGUCCCAGCACCCACUGGAGGUUUGUCACCACCAGUGACACUCAUUCCUGCAGCUCCUUUGGUGCUGGGAACAGAAGCACCUUCCUCAGCCACCAGCACAGCGAAUGAUGACAAUGGGUUGGGGCAGCCUCACAGUGCUGUCACUGCGGAGGGGACACCGGGGACAGCACAGGGCACGGUGCUGUCUGAUGUCCAACACAGCACGGGGACACCACCCCACUCCCUCACCUGGAUCCCAGCUGAGCUGCACACAGCCGCUGUGCGCCUGUCCC